CAGCCAUUCCGCGUGAGUGAAGAAGGCCUUCGGGUUGUAAAGCUCUUUCGCAAGAGAAGAAAACUUAUGAUCGAAUAAAUCAUGAGGUUGACGGUACCUUGAUAAGAAGCACCGGCUAACUACGUGCCAGCAGCCGCGGUAAUACGUAGGGUGCGAGCGUUAAUCGGAAUUACUGGGCGUAAAGCGUGCGCAGGCGGUUUUGUAAGUCGGAUGUGAAAUCCCCGGGCUCAACCUGGGAACUGCGUUCGAAACUGCAAGGCUAGAGUGUGUCAGAGGGGGGUAGAAUUCCACGUGUAGCAGUGACAUGCGUAGAGAUGUGGAGGAAUACCACUGGCGAAGGCAGCCCCCUGCGAUAACCCUGACGCUCAUGCACGAAAGCGUG
RNAcentral lists this ribosomal RNA (382 nucleotides) under uncultured bacterium. RNAcentral describes it as "bacterial SSU rRNA". It matches the Rfam family "Bacterial small subunit ribosomal RNA", at positions 389 to 763 of the family's 1533-position model. The record is from RNAcentral.